AAAUUUAGAAUUUAAAAAUAUAAUUAAAAAUUAUAAAUAGUACUUGAAUUUA
RNAcentral lists this transfer RNA (52 nucleotides) under Simuliidae sp. Cyprus 2. Its description in RNAcentral is "tRNA-Leu". The record is from RNAcentral. Lineage: Eukaryota; Metazoa; Arthropoda; Insecta; Diptera; Simuliidae.